UACGUAGGGGGCAAGCGUUGUCCGGAUUUAUUGGGCGUAAAGCGCGUGUAGGCGGCGAGGUAGGUCCGAUGUGAAAACUCGAGGCUCAACCUCGAGAGGUCAUCGGAAACCAUCUGGCUAGAGUCCGGAAGAGGAGAGUGGAAUUCCCGGUGUAGCGGUGAAAUGCGCAGAUAUCGGGAAGAACACCCAUGGCGAAGGCAGCUCUCUGGGACGGUACUGACGCUGAGACGCGAAAGCGUGGGGAGCGAACAGGAUUAGAUACCCGAGUAGU
This 271-nucleotide ribosomal RNA is filed under the name uncultured bacterium. RNAcentral's name for it is "partial 16S ribosomal RNA". It matches the Rfam family "Bacterial small subunit ribosomal RNA", at positions 524 to 794 of the family's 1533-position model. The record is from RNAcentral.